Molecule: ribosomal RNA, 606 nt
Filed under: Triticum aestivum (bread wheat)
Lineage: Eukaryota; Viridiplantae; Streptophyta; Magnoliopsida; Poales; Poaceae
Description: partial small subunit ribosomal RNA
Source: RNAcentral
AUGCAAGACCAAGCGAACAAGAAGCGCUCCUUUCGGCAAUUUCAAGUCUACCUCAAGCUGCAGCCUUACAUUCAAUCCUCGGUGGCCCCCCGUGCGAAUCACAAGCUCAGCUACAAGUACUACGGUCCGUUCAAUAUCAUCGCCAAGGUCAAUGAUGUCGCCUACAAGCUGCAACUCCCUCCCCAAGCCACGGUGCAUCCUGUCUUCCAUGUCUCGCAGUUGCGUCAAGCACUGCACCCGGGCACAACGGCAUCUCCAACCCUGCCAGCAGACACAAGUGACACAACGAUAACGAUCAAGUUCCUCCAGUCGAGAUGGCGCAAGAAGAACGGGGCUAUGAUUGAGCAAGUCCAAGUUCAAUGGUCAGAGGGCGCGGCGAUCGACACCACCUGGGAGGACAGGCAAGCCCUCCAAGCUCGAUUUCCUCAUGCGGAGGCUUGGGGACAAGCCUCGUCUCAAGGAGGAGGGGAUGUUAACGCCCCUGACGACGCGUCCCCACCAGCUGACAAGACCCGGGCCCGGCCCAGCCGCGUCCGACGCGGCAACCCGCGCUUCUUUGGCCCAGAAUGGCACAACCAGCCCGGCCCAACGGCCCCGGCUACUUAA